This 451-nucleotide ribosomal RNA is filed under the name uncultured organism. RNAcentral's name for it is "partial 16S ribosomal RNA". It matches the Rfam family "Bacterial small subunit ribosomal RNA", at positions 332 to 799 of the family's 1533-position model. The record is from RNAcentral.
UACACUCCUACGGGAGGCAGCAGUGGGGAAUAUUGGACAAUGGGCGCAAGCCUGAUCCAGCCAUGCCGCGUGAGUGAUGAAGGCCCUAGGGUUGUAAAGCUCUUUCACCGGUGAAGAUAAUGACGGUAACCGGAGAAGAAGCCCCGGCUAACUUCGUGCCAGCAGCCGCGGUAAUACGAAGGGGGCUAGCGUAGUUCGGAUUUACUGGGCGUAAAGCGCACGUAGGCGGACUAUUAAGUCAGGGGUGAAAUCCCGGGGCUCAACCCCGGAACUGCCUUUGAUACUGGUAGUCUUGAGUUCGAGAGAGGUGAGUGGAAUUCCGAGUGUAGAGGUGAAAUUCGUAGAUAUUCGGAGGAACACCAGUGGCGAAGGCGGCUCACUGGCUCGAUACUGACGCUGAGGUGCGAAAGCGUGGGGAGCAAACAGGAUUAGAUACCCCAGUAGUCCCAUG